AAGCGAAGUUGAUGUAAGUCGCUCUGGAUAAGAGCGUCUGCUAAAUGACGGAAA
Molecule: non-coding RNA, 54 nt
Organism: Salmo salar (Atlantic salmon)
Lineage: Eukaryota; Metazoa; Chordata; Actinopteri; Salmoniformes; Salmonidae
Source: Rfam